CCAUAUAAACCACAAGUACUAGUAAAAUAAGACCGAAUAAGAUAUGCUGCACGUAUACAAUACAAACCACCGAGUAUAGCUAGGACACUAAUGUCGUAAAAUAAGAUAUGUUUCACGCAUACAAACCACCGAUUAUAGCUAUAGGACGCGUAUAAAGUCGACCGUAUCUUAUAUGAUCUAUUAUAUAUCGAUGGAACAAUGGAUGCAUCAAUAUUACGCCGAGAGACGAAUGAGGAUUGAGGAGAUAUUAAUCUCUUGUGCCGCAGCGAAUAAUGGUGUUGAGCUUCUUCUCGACCUGCGCCGCCGCGUUCGGCUUCUCCUCGAUCGGUUCCUUCUCGACCUGCUGGUUCUUCUCGAUAUUGCGUGGUGGUGGUGGCGCUGCCGCUUUGUUGCAUGACCCGGUAUCCAUGGAUGUAAGGUGGCAGCCGCCCCUGCGCGUUGCGCUCACAAACUGCCACAGUCGCGCACCCUCAAGCUCCUCUGGAUGAUGGGAAGCUUAACUUUGUUAAGGUGGCGUGAUCGCUCCUCUCCGUCGUUUGGUCUCGAGGGAGGGAGCGUAGAGAUUUAUAGGAGGCGAGGAUCGCAUCGGGGCCGCUCCUUAUUUGACUGUGGCUGUGGCUGUGGCUGUUUAGUAUAAGUCUAUUUUAUUUUUGCAGCUGUAAUAGUUCCUGCAGCGCUUAAAAGUUGGCUAGC
This 693-nucleotide long non-coding RNA is filed under the name Zea mays. RNAcentral describes it as "long non-coding RNA (ZMAY_LNC003441)". Lineage: Eukaryota; Viridiplantae; Streptophyta; Magnoliopsida; Poales; Poaceae. The record is from RNAcentral.